This 72-nucleotide transfer RNA is filed under the name Acanthamoeba sp. ATCC 50494. RNAcentral's name for it is "tRNA-Met". It matches the Rfam family "tRNA". Rfam says of the family: Transfer RNA (tRNA) molecules are approximately 80 nucleotides in length. Their secondary structure includes four short double-helical elements and three loops (D, anti-codon, and T loops). The record is from RNAcentral. Lineage: Eukaryota; Discosea; Longamoebia; Acanthamoebidae.
UUGGAGGUGGUGUAAAUGGAAACACACCAGGCUCAUGACCUGACGAUGUAGGUUCGAGUCCUACCCUCCCCA